AGUGAACGCUGGCGGUAGGCCUAACACAUGCAAGUCGAACGGCAGCACAGUAAGAGCUUGCUCUUACGGGUGGCGAGUGGCGUACGGGUGAGGAAUACAUCGGAAUCUACUUUUUCGUGGGGGAUAACGUAGGGAAACUUACGCUAAUACCGCAUACCACCUACGGGUGAAAGCAGUGGAUCUUCGGACCUUGCGCGAUUGAAUGAGCCGAUGUCGGAUUAGCUAGUUGGCGGGGUAAAGGCCCACCAAGGCGACGAUCCGUAGCUGGUCUGAGAGGAUGAUCAGCCACAAUGGAACUGAGACCCGGCCCAGACUCCUACGGGAGGCAGCAGUGGGGAAUGUUGGACAAUGGGCGCAAGCCUGAUGCAGCCAUACCGCGUGGGUGAAAAAGGCCUUCGGGUUGUAAAGCCCUUUUGUUGGGAAAGAAAAGCAGCAGGUUAAUACCCCGCGGUUCUGACGGUACCCAAAGAAUAAGCACCGGCUAACUACGUG
This 492-nucleotide ribosomal RNA is filed under the name uncultured bacterium. RNAcentral describes it as "partial 16S ribosomal RNA". It matches the Rfam family "Bacterial small subunit ribosomal RNA", at positions 29 to 507 of the family's 1533-position model. The record is from RNAcentral.